This 581-nucleotide ribosomal RNA is filed under the name uncultured soil bacterium. RNAcentral describes it as "bacterial SSU rRNA". It matches the Rfam family "Bacterial small subunit ribosomal RNA", at positions 28 to 596 of the family's 1533-position model. The record is from RNAcentral.
GACGAACGCUGGCGGCGUGCUUAACACAUGCAAGUCGAGCGGCAAGGAGUCCUUCGGGACUCCCUAGAGCGGCGAACGGGUGAGUAACACGUGGGUAACCUGCCCUAAGGACUGGGAUAACAUUCGGAAACGGAUGCUAAUACCGGACAUGCUUCAGUGGCGCAAGCUGUUGAAGUAAAGGUAGCUUCGGCUUCUGCCUUAGGAUGGGCCCGCGGCCUAUCAGCUUGUUGGUGAGGUAACGGCUCACCAAGGCGACGACGGGUAGCUGGUCUGAGAGGACGAUCAGCCACACUGGGACUGAGACACGGCCCAGACUCCUACGGGAGGCAGCAGUGGGGAAUCUUGCGCAAUGGGCGAAAGCCUGACGCAGCAACGCCGCGUGGAGGAAGAAGGCCCUCGGGUUGUAAACUCCUGUCAGGGGGAAAGAAGGCACCUGGGUUAAUAGCCCAAGGGCUGACGGUACCCCCAAAGGAAGCCACGGCUAACUACGUGCCAGCAGCCGCGGUAAUACGUAGGUGGCGAGCGUUGUCCGGAAUCAUUGGGCGUAAAGAGCGCGUAGGCGGCUUGUCAGGUCUGAUGUG